GUGGAUCAGGGCUCUGCUGGUCGUUGAGCAACACUUCUGUCCAGUCCCAGUAUGCAAUUACGGCUGAGAGGCUGUCAUCUUCUGCAUGGUCACGUGGCGUCCUGCAGCGGCCUGCAAAGCAGCAUGGACGACAGUGGUGCACCUGAUCUUUCUUUUCUAGAGAACCAAUGAGACCGCUUUAAGGAACUCGUUCAGAGGCUUGUGAGUGAUACGACGCACGAGUUGGGACUGCAAGUCCUUGCAAGCGUCAUCAAAGGCCCUGUAAGCAGCUUGCAGGUCUUGGGUGGCUUUGGACCUCUCCGCUCUGCCCAAAACAUGCGGAUCUUUCAGCACGCAAAUAGCGCGGUGAUCCUAUCACAAAACUGAAAGACUCGGGAAGAUAGAACGGGGGCA
This 393-nucleotide long non-coding RNA is filed under the name Coccomyxa subellipsoidea. RNAcentral's name for it is "long non-coding RNA (CSUB_LNC000277)". Lineage: Eukaryota; Viridiplantae; Chlorophyta; Trebouxiophyceae; Coccomyxaceae. The record is from RNAcentral.